GCUUACACAUGCAAGUCGAGCGGUAACAUUUCUAGCUUGCUAGAAGAUGACGAGCGGCGGACGGGUGAGUAACGCGUAGGAAUCUGCCUAGUAGUGGGGGACAACAUGUGGAAACGCAUGCUAAUACCGCAUACGCCCUACGGGGGAAAGGAGGGGAUCUUCGGACCUUUCGCUAUUAGAUGAGCCUGCGUGAGAUUAGCUAGUUGGUGGGGUAAAGGCCUACCAAGGCGACGAUCUCUAGCUGGUCUGAGAGGAUGAUCAGCCACACUGGGACUGAGACACGGCCCAGACUCCUACGGGAGGCAGCAGUGGGGAAUAUUGGACAAUGGGCGCAAGCCUGAUCCAGCCAUGCCGCGUGUGUGAAGAAGGCCUUAGGGUUGUAAAGCACUUUCAGGAGUGAGGAAGGGCGUGCAGUUAAUACCUGUAUGUCUUGACGUUAACUCCAGAAGAAGCACCGGCUAACUCUGUGCCAGCAGCCGCGGUAAUACAGAGGGUGCGAGCGUUAAUCGGAAUUACUGGGCGUAAAGCGCGCGUANGCGGUUUG
Molecule: ribosomal RNA, 544 nt
Filed under: uncultured bacterium
Lineage: Bacteria
Description: bacterial SSU rRNA
Rfam family: Bacterial small subunit ribosomal RNA
Source: RNAcentral